AGAAAGCGUCAGCGCCGAUAGUGAAGCAGCAUCUGGUGGGAUUCUCUCUGCUCUCCUGUUGGAAGCAGCAAGGCAAGGCGCUUGCAUCUUGAAAUGGGUGAUUUUUAAAUCUUUUCUUCGUUUGAUUAUUUGAGAACCCCUGUUUGUUCCUUGACCCUACAUGAAGAAGAUGAGAGAGAAAGAGCUGGACAUAGCAUUCACCCCAGUGAUGAAGAAUGGGAAUGUUGGGGCCUGCUGUUUGUUGCUUUUCUUUUUGCUGAUGUGUGGCUCUUCGUUGCCCAAAAGGUCUGCAGAGAGGGAGUUAAAUGCAUGUGUUUUUCUUGCACAGCAGCAAGGCUAAAAUGUGGAAGUAAGCUAAGUAAACCUUUAUAAUUA
Molecule: long non-coding RNA, 375 nt
Filed under: Homo sapiens (human)
Lineage: Eukaryota; Metazoa; Chordata; Mammalia; Primates; Hominidae
Description: novel transcript, sense intronic to MAML3
Source: RNAcentral